Molecule: long non-coding RNA, 1589 nt
Filed under: Homo sapiens (human)
Lineage: Eukaryota; Metazoa; Chordata; Mammalia; Primates; Hominidae
Description: novel transcript
Source: RNAcentral
AGCCACCGCGGCGACUUGGCGGCGGGUGCCAUGCGUCUGGAGCUUCACAUUCUCUGCCCCCCACCCACCGCGCCGGCGCUCCCUUGUCACGCCUCGGGAAGCGCGCACCUGCCAAGCAGGAUGAAUAAUCUGAUAUCAUGUGAAAUGAGGAAAUAAGAAGCUUUCUGCUGACUUCAUUUUGACCCAGGGUCCAAAAGGUGAUGUAAUCCUGUGGCAAGAAGAUUCAAAACUGUGGACUAUCUUGCAAAAAAUACAAGAAGAUAUUGAAAGUUUUCAUGAGUGCCUACCACCUAAUCUCAAACACUAUCAUUCAUAUGUGCCUCAUUGAGCAAAUCUUUAAUGAGGAUCUAUAUGCCAGAUAAUGUAGGCAUUGUUCCUAAGUCAUGCAGAGGGGUUGUGUAAGCAUGGUCAUUUGCAUCAUUAUCCUGCACGUCUGAUACAGCCAAACUCCACGCCACCUGGUUUGCUCAAUAUCUUUUGCUUGGGAGCAGAAACAGAAAGUACAUGAUGGACUUCAUUGAAGGAUGGAGAUUUGGAAGACAUGAAUGGAUGAAGAACCAAGUGCGUGAGGGCACCUAUCAGGAUUAUUGCUGAAAUCCUUAUGGAGUUAACUGGCUGAGAGGAAGGCAAGCAAGCGAGGACUGAUGGGCCCUUGGCACUGUGAGAACAGUGGAGGAGGAGGGAGCAGGGUUCAUAAGGAGGAGCACAAACAGAAAGUUCAGUGGCCCCAAUAAAAAUAACACCAGAAUCUUCCAGAUACUUUCUCCAUAAGGCGAAAAGAGAUGGGGUUUCACCAUGUUGCCCAGGCUGGUCUCAAACUCCUGAGCUCAGGCCAUCUGCCCGCCUCGGCCUCCCAAAGUGCUAGGAUUACAGAAGGUGCCUGCUUCCCCUUCACCUUCCACCAUGAUUGUAAGUUUCCUGAGGCCUCCCCAGACAUGUGGAACUAACAGGUUUCUCUUAUUGCCUGGAUCCAAGAGCAUCUCCUGGGUUCUUCCUGUUAGAAUACUGAAUGUCCAUGGAGAGUUUAACAUAAGGAAGAAGAGGCCUGUCUCCCAGCUGAAACUGGUGCAGCAGAUCAUGCAAAGUAAAACCUCAGCAGCUGUGAUGAAGUAGAGCAGAGGGCCUGGGUGUCUGUCAGCUCCAAGCGGAAGAUUUCCCCAGCUUUCUAGGUAACUGUGCUUCCACUGAGCAAGCCAGACACAGACUUGAAUGUCAUCACAAUCUGUGCCUGUGACAUCUUUCCCCAAGAAUAGCACAAAUUGAACUUUUACAUUCUUCAUAAUAUGGAAGGAAAGAUUUCUGACUUCAUAUCUGUGGGAUCCACACAAUGGGGAGGUACUGGCCUUGGAAUCCAUGGUUCCCCAGCUAUCAUUUUACUUUAGAAUUACAGUGUUCUCUGUUAGUGUCAAGGGAAUGAACCUGACGAGAAAAGACCAAACAUAGGACUGUUACAGGGAAGAAAAAUAUGAAAAGACCUAAAGAUGCACGUCCUCAUUAUAUGUAAGGAAUCUAUUUCCUAGAAUCCUAUAAAAAGCUCAAGUGAAUUUGCUUCAGUUAAUAAAUGUGAUUUAAUUAUAAUGAUAAUGCCA